AGAAUUGAAACUGUAAAGCUGAAAAGUGGGAUUUAUGAAAAAGGUAUAAAGAGGUUUAUUUUCAAGGCCAUUAACAUUUGUGCUUCAGACCUAUUUCAUAUGGAACAGGAGGGAAUGUUUUCCAUCUUUAAGAGCACAAUUCACUUAUUAAAAUGUUCAGCAUUUUACUUUUGACUGCAAAUAUAAAAAUGUCCAUGGAAGGGUCAUAUGUCCUAGUCCUAGACAGAACCCAGCUAUGUCUCUGGUUCCUUUUAGGACUUCACGUGAGCUGAGACGGAAUGUCUGGCGCGUUCCGGUGUCACUGGAGUCUGUGUCGCCGGACGCAGAGCUUUGUGCACAGCACAAUCUCUGCCCGAAGGAAUCAAAAGUCCUGCGAGGCUCCAUCUCCGCUGACUGCUUUGUGUCGGACACCAAAUGCAAGCUUAAAUCCGCCGCUGCAGACAUGAAGACUGAGAGAAGAUGCGCUCAGACGCUGACAGCGAGCGGGCAGGUGAUAGAUCUGCUCCAAAAAGACGGGCAAGGCAUUUUGGAGACGCAGGACGAAACCAGAUACGUUGAUUUGGAGUCAGAGGGCGAGAGGGUCAGUCGCUUUGGUCAGAGAAACCAAGUGUCUGUUGUUAAAAACGGCGAAUUCGAAGCUGUUUGCGCGUCGGAAUCAAACUCUGGCCUGAACGAGAUGCAUGCUGAGGAGGGCGAAAACAUCAGAGGUGAGAAAUGUGUGGUAAAUGGCAGAGAUUUCCCCUCCCCAUCUUCCUCACCUUGCCUCCAAACAGGAGUGAAAAGCGGCGAGAGCGCAGUUACGCAAAACAACGUGUCCAGAGGACAGGGCAGUAACGCAGAGCGCGAUGAGGAAUCUCACAGCACCAACAGCAAUCUGAGUGGAAAAAGUGAGUGGGAGGACUGUGAGGAGGUGGAUAAUGUCAGCCUGGUGCUCUCUGAUGAAUCCGCUCCAUGCGUAACCGAGGACCAUUACAUUACCACGCACGAGAUUCAGCUCUCAGAGCUGUCUGAUCGUGAAGGGGACUACGACCUGGGCGUGGGCUCCUCUGCCAGCUGGGAAAUUGAAGAUGACAGCCAGGUGUACCCGUUUGUGGAUUACUCCUUUGAGGGCGGCGAGGCUGCGGGGGAGAGGGGGGCCGGUCUUUCGCUCCGCUCCCAGGGUGCAGCGGCAGCAGCAGCAGCGGUCAGCACUCUGCUUGAAAGUGAUCUGCGCGACGCCGCCAAGCACUGUGGCUCAGAUGAGCCCGAAGAGAAGCAGCUCGGUGGCAGCAGCGGGGGACAGAUCCACCUGUCAAUCAGAACCACAUCCCGAGCUAUAAAUGACCCCGGCAGCAUCCAAGAAGAGGGAAAUAUUCUUUAUCAUACCAGGCGCGCCGGAGACAUUAGUCGCUAUUUGUUUAGGGGAGUGGAUGGGAAGGCAGAGACCUUGUGUGACAGGGCGAAGUGUUUCAUAGCGGCGCCCGGACGCCUGCACUUUGGCGGCAGAUUGAAGGGAAAAGAGGUCACCGAGUAUUCCAGCGGCACGUCCAGCGCUGUCAGCGAGCUGGACGACGCUGACAAGGAGGUGCGCAACCUCACAGCCAGAGCCUUCAAGAGCCUGGCCUACCCUUACUUUGAUGCCAUCAAUUUUAGCACCUCCAGUGAGUCAUCUGCAUCAGAGCAUGGCCUGGGGAUAAACAGAUGGUCCACGUUUCUGGAUCUAAAAUAUGGCAACAUGAACGUGUCCCAGGGACUGGACCAAAGUGUGGUUUCUUCUCAAAACUCAGCGGCAUCACACGAAAUAGCCAAAAACAGAGAAACCCGAGCUUAUAAGGGCAUCAAACCAUCAACCUUUACUUUGAAUGCCAACCCCCGCAGCGCAUCGUCAUCAAAGCAGAUCCAGCUGAUGGGGAAGUUUGGGCAGGGCCACGGUGGAGUGAUCAGACUCACAGAGACUCUGAAUUUUCGCUGCAAUGUCAAAUCGGGAAUGUCUGGGGGAGAAAGGCGCACUAACUUUGUGCAAAACGCUGCAGGAUCACGUUCCACGGAUGAGGUUACCAAGAGCCUGCAGAGCAGCCAGCAGAGAGGGGCCAGCAAGCACCCGUCUAAUACCAUGGAAGAUACACAUAAGAAAGCCAUUUUCGCCACCAGCGUGAUCAAAAAUGUUCUUUCUAAGAAGAUGCAGUUCGAGCAGGAGCGCAAGAUGGAGCGAGGGGAGAUCCGUGAGCCACAGAAAGCGCCCUCUCCGUGCUUUGUGCAGCAGGAAAGCGACAGUAAGUGGAGGGGGAGCAGGGAGCUGGAGAGACAGAGUUCCAAGUUCUCUGAGAGCGGAUCCGACUAUGCUAUAAUGUGCGUGGAUGAAUUAGGAGACAUUGUGGACAGCGGCUCAUGUGAUAGUAAGAGACAAGACGCGUCUGCUCCUGCAACAGAAACUAAUUUAAACUCGGCCAAUGAAGCUGGGAUUGAUACUAAAAAAGGCGCACUGCUUCGCAGCCAAAAUAGCGCAUUCAGAUGCUGGAAGGACGAGGUGCUAGGGUUUCAAAAGGAUCAUAAAAACCAUCAAACUCUGGAGGACAAGUUGCCUCCAGUUGAUGACAAAAAGAGUGAGGGGGAUCCGUCCUCAGCAGGCUGCGGUAAAGUGACUAAAAUGUCUCGUUUGUUUGUGCCAAGUAUCCAACUGCUGCCCAGUGACGGAGAGAUGGGAUCGCAGCUGCACAGGGGAGCUUAUUCCCGGAAUGGAAACCACACUUUAUACAUCACUGACUCCAGGAACGCAAAACCAUCUAAAUCCCCGGAAAUUAAAAUCAACCUGAGAAGCGUCAGAGACAGCAAAACGGAACAGUUUGGGGUCUCCAAGCUGCGCCUCCCGAAUAUCACCUGUAGCGCAUCGAGCCUGAUCAGGAAAGAGGAUUUAAAAUGUCAAGCCUUGGCUGCUGCUCUGAAGGGUGAGUCCUCGGAUAAGGUUCCGCAUUUCAUGGUUAGAGACAUCAGAGAUAAUAAAGGGAAGUUACAAACUCCCAUUCACCAAGUCAGAGAUGUGCGUAAACUGGUUAAAAGUUCCUAUCACUUUGUUUCUUCGGAUAACAACGAAACCAAAGCCGGCUCUUUCCGCUCUGAAAGCCAGUCAGAGCAAAAGAAGCAGAUGCACAGCUGGAAUCCUAACUCUGUGUCUCCUAUAGUCAUAAAAUGUCAGUCUGUAAAUACUAACAAUACUGAAAAACCUACAGACAACCUUGAGUUUGACACAUGGAGAUCAUCUCCAGAAGCUGCUAACAGCCCUCCACCCCAGAGGACAUCAGGGAGAGCACCACAUACUUCAAACAGCUCAGAGGAAAGCACCGAGAUGAGCAGUGAGAGCAAAAUAGGCCAGACAAAGCAAGAAACAGUGUCAGACACGACAGAAAAUAAGCUGGAGUCGAAGGUGGCGAAUCAGGCGGCUCUGGAGAAACUCCAGGCCGCCGUGAAAACCAUGGAGCAACUUUAUGUGUUUGAAAAAAAUGAGUGGAAAAGAAAGAGUGAGCCCCAGCGUCUGACCGGCAGCCAUGUGCUGUCACUGAUAGCCAGUGAGGAGCAGAACGAUUCCGAGGAAGGAGGGAGAGGGUUCAACAUAGACAAGGCAGCCAGAAGAGACUCCUACCCCAAUAUAGACAAGACCUCCCCAGCAUUAUCAGCACCUCCCAGCACUGACAGCUCCCUGAGGUGGGAGGACAAGGAACUACUAAGAGUGCUUCAGACUUCAAGCAGCCACGAUGAAAGCUUGCUUACUAAGUCAAUGCAAACAGUUGGCACCACAGGGAGCAAGAACAUGUCCAGCUUUAGCUCCAAACCUAAGGCCUACACAGCUGCUAAUGCUUUUCAGCCAAACACCAUCACGCACGCACCUUUCAGUGGCAAAACCUUUGCACCAAAAUCCCCUAAAUUGCCUGCGUCAUUUAAACCCAGUCAGACAGCAAUCAGUGGGAGGGAAGAUGCUGAGUCAAGGGGUGUGGACCGAUUUGAACAUCGGUUUUCAGGUGCAUCAGUUGACAACGAGAACUACUUAACCAUCCCGGUUAAAUCUCAGCCCAGCUACAGAAAACCUGUAGAAAAGACAUUUAGCCAUCAGUCGCAGCCGACCCCGCCUGCAGGACACGAAGAACCUCCCUCUCGAGGUCAGGAGGACCACAAUCGGACGAAACGCUCCAGCAUUGUAAUGGAGACCCAUUCACCAGAGAUUUCCUCUGCUGCUAUUUAUCACUCUCUGCCAUUGGCUGCUAAUCAGCCACAGAUGUAUUGUUUUUCCCCAGCAAUGACUCCAGCCCCCAUCAUGGACCCCUUUCAGGCCACACAGAGGAAAAUGCUGCUGGAUCCCACCACAGGGAACUACUACCUGGUGGACACGCCGCUCUCCCCAGCCACAAGGCGUCUUUUUGACCCAGAAACAGGGCAGUACGUGGACGUACCCAUGCCACAGCCUCCGAUGACACCAGUACCGAUGCCCAUCUCACCGCUGGCGCUCAGUCCUGGAGCAUAUGGUCAUACCUACAUGAUCUACCCAGGCUUCAUGCCAACGCCUUCGGUGAUACCUGCCCGAACGCUGGUACAGUCGCAGAUGUCAGUGCCAUCCGAGGCAGAGAGCGUGGAGAAGGCUUCGUCUCACCAGACUGAGGGAAUGUACAUGGAGAGUCCCUUCUAUAUGGCAACCGGGAAGGCUCCCCAGGCGGUUCCAGGGGCCCAACAACAGAAUCCCUCCAACAGGCCACAGCAUGGAUUCUCCAGCCUCAAUCAGCCACUCAUCAGCAUCACCUCUCAGCAAGGGCCCCGGAUAAUCGCCCCACCCUCGUUCGAUGGGACCACCAUGAGUUUUGUGGUAGAGCACAGAUGAGUUGCAGCUCAGCUGGACAGGACUGGGGCUUUUGUGGAUGCUGGCCUGCUCCGGGUUUAUCCUCUUCGUGGUUUUACACUGCUGUUAAAUCUGAUGAACGAUAUCUUUGCUGUUCAGUUUCUUUGAGAAUGUGGAGCUGCUGGACAGUCUCUGCUACUCUGAUGUUUAGGUAAAUGUUACAAAGAUGUUUGGCAUCACCAUUAUUCCAGAUUAGUCUUUUAUAAUGUAUGCUAUGCGUAACUGACACUAAUGUUUGUUAUUAGAGGGAAAACUGUAUUUGAUACAAAUCAAUUUUCCCAUUUUUAGACAUUUUCUCCAUUUUAAUUUUUGUCUAAAGUACUACACACACACACACACACA
This is an RNA transcript of Fundulus heteroclitus (mummichog), 5203 nucleotides long. It is a transcript of the gene named chromosome 14 C4orf54 homolog, with no coding region annotated. NCBI's taxonomy places the organism in Eukaryota, Metazoa, Chordata, Actinopteri, Cyprinodontiformes, Fundulidae. The record is from RefSeq and is a predicted model, not a curated record. The transcript has 3 exons.